GAUGAACGCUGGCGGCGUGCCUAAUACAUGCAAGUCGAGCGAACAGACGAGGAGCUUGCUCCUCUGACGUUAGCGGCGGACGGGUGAGUAACACGUGGAUAACCUACCUAUAAGACUGGGAUAACUUCGGGAAACCGGAGCUAAUACCGGAUAAUAUAUUGAACCGCAUGGUUCAAUAGUGAAAGACGGUUUUGCUGUCACUUAUAGAUGGAUCCGCGCCGCAUUAGCUAGUUGGUAAGGUAACGGCUUACCAAGGCAACGAUGCGUAGCUGACCUGAGAGGAUGAUCGGCCACACUGGAACUGAGACACGGUCCAGACUCCUACGGGAGGCAGCAGUAGGGAAUAUUCCGCAAUGGGCGAAAGCCUGACGGAGCAACGCCGCGUGAGUGAUGAAGGUCUUCGGAUCGUAAAACUCUGUUAUUAGGGAAGAAAAAAUGUGUAAGUAACUAUGCACGUCUUGACGGUACCUAAUCAGAAAGCCGCGGCUAACUACGUG
RNAcentral lists this ribosomal RNA (497 nucleotides) under uncultured bacterium. RNAcentral describes it as "partial 16S ribosomal RNA". It matches the Rfam family "Bacterial small subunit ribosomal RNA", at positions 28 to 507 of the family's 1533-position model. The record is from RNAcentral.